This 456-nucleotide long non-coding RNA is filed under the name Mytilus galloprovincialis (Mediterranean mussel). The record is from RNAcentral. Lineage: Eukaryota; Metazoa; Mollusca; Bivalvia; Mytilida; Mytilidae.
AAUAUAUAUAAAAAGAAGAUGUGGUAUGAUUGCCAAUGCGACAACUAUCCACAAAAGACCAAAAUGACACAAACAUUAACAACUAUAGGUCAAUGUACGGCCUUCAACAAUGAGCAAAGCCCAUACCGCAUAGUCAGCUAUAAAAGGUCCCGAUAAGACAAUGUAAAACAAUUCAAACGAGAAAACUAACGGCCUUAUUUAUGUAAAAAAAUGAACGAAAAACAAAUAUGUAACACAUAAACAAACGACAACCACUGAAUUACAGGCUCCUGACUUGGGACAGGCACAUACAUAAAUAAUAUGGCGGGGUUAAACAUGUUAGCGGGAUCCCAACCCUCCCCCUAACCUGGGACAGUGGUAUAACAGUACAACAUAAGAACGAACUAUAAAAAUCAGUUGAAAAAGGCUUAACUCAUCAGAUGGACAAAAAUACAAGUGGACGUAAUGAUCUGAUUU